Molecule: ribosomal RNA, 264 nt
Filed under: Bryobacterales bacterium
Lineage: Bacteria; Pseudomonadati; Acidobacteriota; Terriglobia; Bryobacterales
Description: partial 16S ribosomal RNA
Rfam family: Bacterial small subunit ribosomal RNA
Source: RNAcentral
UUCAAAUGAGAGUUUGAUCCCGGCUCAGAAUCAACGCUGGCGGCGCGCCUAACACAUGCAAGUCGAACGAGAAAGCCCGCAAGGGUGAGUACAGUGGCGUACGGGUGAGUAACACGUGGAUCAUCUACCUUUUAGUGGGGAAUACCGUUGGGAAACCGACGACAAUACCGCAUAAUCCCGAGAGGGGAAAGCAGCAAUGCGCUGAAAGAGGAGUCCGCGGCUGAUUAGCUAGUUGGCAGGGUAAUGGCCUACCAAGGCAACGAU